CGCCGCGAUACCGAGGCGACGUUGCGGUCUGGCGAGGUCGCCAGAAAGCGCGCGCGGAUUUCGGCGUCGUUCGGCGCGCUGCGCGGCAG
This 89-nucleotide transfer RNA is filed under the name Achromobacter aegrifaciens. Its description in RNAcentral is "tRNA-???(ggcg)". Lineage: Bacteria; Pseudomonadati; Pseudomonadota; Betaproteobacteria; Burkholderiales; Alcaligenaceae. The record is from RNAcentral.